UUUGACCUCAAAUCAGGUAGGACUACCCGCUGAACUUAAGCAUAUCAAUAAGCGGAGGAAAAGAAACUAACAAGGAUUCCCCUAGUAACUGCGAGUGAAGCGGGAAAAGCUCAAAUUUGAAAUCUGGCAGUCUUUUUUUUCUUCUUUGGCUGUCCGAGUUGUAAUCUAGAGAAGUGCUUACCUGCGCUGGACCAUGUAUAAGUCUCCUGGAAUGGAGCCUCACAGAGGGUGAGAAUCCCGCCUUUGACAUGGACCGCCAGUGAGUUGGGGUGCGCUCUCA
This 280-nucleotide ribosomal RNA is filed under the name Amanita olivaceogrisea. RNAcentral's name for it is "partial 28S ribosomal RNA". It matches the Rfam family "Eukaryotic large subunit ribosomal RNA", at positions 1 to 259 of the family's 3401-position model. The record is from RNAcentral. Lineage: Eukaryota; Fungi; Basidiomycota; Agaricomycetes; Agaricales; Amanitaceae.